AACGAACGCUGGCGGCGCGCCUAAUACAUGCAAGUCGAGCGAGAAGACGUAGCAAUACGUUUGUAAAGCGGCGAACGGGUGAGGAAUACAUGGGUAACCUACCCUCGAGUGGGGAAUAACUAGCCGAAAGGUUAGCUAAUACCGCGUACGCUCCUUGGACUUCGGUUCAGGGAGGAAAGCGAUACCGCGGGUAUCGCGCUCCUGGAUGGGCUCAUGUCCUAUCAGCUUGUUGGUGAGGUAACGGCUCACCAAGGCUUCGACGGGUAGCUGGUCUGAGAGGACGAUCAGCCACACUGGCACUGCGACACGGGCCAGACUCCUACGGGAGCAGCAGUAAGGAAUAUUGCGCAAUGGGCGAAAGCCUGACGCAGCGACGCCGCGUGGGGGAUGAAGGUCUUCGGAUUGUAAACCCCUUUCGGGAGGG
This 424-nucleotide ribosomal RNA is filed under the name uncultured bacterium. RNAcentral describes it as "bacterial SSU rRNA". It matches the Rfam family "Bacterial small subunit ribosomal RNA", at positions 29 to 444 of the family's 1533-position model. The record is from RNAcentral.